Otolemur garnettii (small-eared galago) is the source of this 149-nucleotide small nucleolar RNA. The record is from Ensembl. Lineage: Eukaryota; Metazoa; Chordata; Mammalia; Primates; Galagidae.
CCUCCUUCUCUUGGCAGGGCUCAGGUGUGUAGUCCUGCUCCCCAUUAUGUGCACAGGUAGAGGGAAAGGGCUCCAGCCCACCUGGCAUCAUGUCUUCGGUGCCAGUGGCUUCCUAUCUGACAGUUCUAUCCUCAAAUGCCGGGACACCG